GAUGAACGCUGGCGGCGUGCCUAAUACAUGCAAGUAGAACGCUGAAGGAGGAGCUUGCUCUUCUGGAUGAGUUGCGAACGGGUGAGUAACGCGUAGGUAACCUGCCUGGUAGCGGGGGAUAACUAUUGGAAACGAUAGCUAAUACCGCAUGACAACAGUUAUUGCAUGAUAACUGUUUAAAAGGGGCAACUGCUCCACUACCAGAUGGACCUGCGUUGUAUUAGCUAGUUGGUGAGGUAACGGCUCACCAAGGCGACGAUACAUAGCCGAACUGAGAGGGUGAGCGGCCACACUGGGACGGUGACACGGCCCAGACUCCUACGGGAGGCAGCAGUAGGGAAUCGUCGGGAAUCGACGGAAGUCUGACCGAGCAACGCCGCGUGAGGAAAGAAGGUUGUCGGGUCGUAAAGCUCUGUUGUAAGAGAAGAACGAGUGUGAGAGUGGAAAGUUCACACUGUGACGGUAUCUUACCAGAAAGGGACGGCUAACUACGUG
This 495-nucleotide ribosomal RNA is filed under the name uncultured bacterium. RNAcentral describes it as "partial 16S ribosomal RNA". It matches the Rfam family "Bacterial small subunit ribosomal RNA", at positions 28 to 507 of the family's 1533-position model. The record is from RNAcentral.